GAACGCUGGCGGCGUGGAUAAGACAUGCAAGUCGAACGGGAGAAUUGCUAGCUUGCUAAUAAUUCUCUAGUGGCGCACGGGUGAGUAACACGUGAGUAACCUGCCUCUUAGUGGGGGAUAGCCCUGGGAAACCGGGAUUAAUACCGCAUACGAUUGAAAGAUCAAAGCAGCAAUGCGCUAGGAGAUGGGCUCGCGGCCUAUUAGUUAGUUGGUGAGGUAACGGCUCACCAAGGCGAUGACGGGUAGCCGGUCUGAGAGGAUGUCCGGCCACACUGGAACUGAGACACGGUCCAGACACCUACGGGUGGCAGCAGUCGAGAAUCAUUCACAAUGGGGGCAACCCUGAUGGUACGACGCCGCGUGGGGGAACGAAGGUCUUCGGAUUGUAAACCCCUGUCAUGUGGGAGCAAAUUAAAAAGAUAGUACCACAAGAGGAAGAGACGGCUAACUCUGUGCCAGCAGCCGCGGUAAUACAGAGGUCUCAAGCGUUGUUCGGAAUCACUGGGCGUAAAGCGUGCGUAGGCUGUUUCGUAAGUCGUGUGUGAAAGGCAGGGGCUCAACCCCUGGAUUGCACAUGAUACUGCGAGACUAGAGUAAUGGAGGGGGAACCGGAAUUCUCGGUGUAGCAGUGAAAUGCGUAGAUAUCGAGAGGAACACUCGUGGCGAAGGCGGGUUCCUGGACAUUAACUGACGCUGAGGCACGAAGGCCAGGGGAGCGAAAGGGAUUAGAUACCCCUGUAGUCCUGGCAGUAAACGGUGCACGCUUGGUGUGCGGGGAAUCGACCCCCUGCGUGCCGGAGCUAACGCGUUAAGCGUGCCGCCUGGGGAGUACGGUCGCAAGAUUAAAACUCAAAGAAAUUGACGGGGACCCGCACAAGCGGUGGAGUAUGUGGCUUAAUUCGAUGCAACGCGAAGAGCCUUACCUGGGCUUGACAUGUAAUGAACAACAUGUGAAAGCAUGCGACUCUUCGGAGGCGUUACACAGGUGCUGCAUGGCCGUCGUCAGCUCGUGUCGUGAGAUGUUUGGUUAAGUCCAGCAACGAGCGCAACCCCUGUUGCCAGUUACCAGCACGUCAAGGCGGGGACUCUGGCGAGACUGCCCAGAUCAACUGGGAGGAAGGUGGGGACGACGUCAGGUCAGUAUGGCCCUUAUGCCCAGGGCUGCACACGUACUACAAUGCCCAGUACAGAGGGGGCCGAAGCCGCGAGGCGGAGGAAAUCCUGAAAACUGGGCCCAGUUCGGACUGUAGGCUGCAACCCGCCUACACGAAGCCGGAAUCGCUAGUAAUGGCGCAUCAGCUACGGCGCCGUGAAUACGUUCCCGGGUCUUGUACACACCGCCCGUCACAUCAUGGAAGCCGGUCGCACCCGAAGUAUCUGAAGCCAACCGCAAGGAGGCAGGGUCCUAAGGUGAGACUGGUAACUGGGAUGAA
RNAcentral lists this ribosomal RNA (1433 nucleotides) under uncultured organism. Its description in RNAcentral is "SSU rRNA". It matches the Rfam family "Bacterial small subunit ribosomal RNA". The record is from RNAcentral.